GUGCCAGCCGCUGCGGUAAUACGGAGGGUGCAAGCGUUAAUCGGAAUUACUGGGCGUAAAGCGCACGCAGGCGGUCUGUCAAGUCGGAUGUGAAAUCCCCGGGCUCAACCUGGGAACUGCAUUCGAAACUGGCAGGCUAGAGUCUUGUAGAGGGGGUUAGAAUUCCAGGUGUAGCGGUGAAAUGCGUAGAGAUCUGGAGGAAUACCGGUGGCGAAGGCGGCCCCUGGACAAAGACUGACGCUCAGGUGCGAAAGCGUGGGAGCAAACAGGAUUAGAUACCCUGGUAGUCCACGCCGUAAACGAUGUCGAUUUGGAGGUUGUGCCCUUGAGGCGUGGCUUCCGGAGCUAACGCGUUAAAUCGACCGCCUGGGGAGUACGGCCGCAAGGUUAAAACUCAAAUGAAUUGACGGGGGCCCGCACAAGCGGUGGAGCAUGUGGUUUAAUUCGAUGCAACGCGAAGAACCUUACCUGGUCUUGACAUCCACAGAACUUAGCAGAGAUGCUUUGGUGCCUUCGGGAACUGUGAGACAGGUG
Molecule: ribosomal RNA, 534 nt
Filed under: uncultured bacterium
Lineage: Bacteria
Description: bacterial SSU rRNA
Rfam family: Bacterial small subunit ribosomal RNA
Source: RNAcentral